AUCAGCUGGUAGUGCAUGUUAUCGAUUAUCUCCAGUCACGUACCACGCUCGGAGUGAGUAUUGAAUUGAAUGCAUCAUG
RNAcentral lists this small nucleolar RNA (79 nucleotides) under Trypanosoma cruzi. RNAcentral describes it as "C/D small nucleolar RNA (snoRNA)". Lineage: Eukaryota; Euglenozoa; Kinetoplastea; Trypanosomatida; Trypanosomatidae. The record is from RNAcentral.